Non-coding RNA from Rattus norvegicus (Norway rat), 3181 nucleotides. The record is from RefSeq and is a predicted model, not a curated record. Lineage: Eukaryota; Metazoa; Chordata; Mammalia; Rodentia; Muridae.
CUAGUCAGCGCCAUUUUGGAAUUGGGCAGGAGACGACACCAAUUGUGAAACCUUGGACUAGACAUUUCUAGAUAGGAAUGCGGCAUCCGUUGUGGAAUUAGGUAGCCAUGAUUGUUUGGGGCAGAAGUCUGGCAGUUGAAGUGGCUAAGCAAAUAAAACGUAGCUGGUAGCGAGCACGUUGGACUCUAAGGCAAGUUCCCUUCUUCAGAAUACCUCAUCUAACUGUAUGGGAACGCCCAAUAAAGUUUGGGACUCGGCAAGUGUUUGAGCAGCUACCUUAAUCUAGCUGAAUGUUUUGCUGGUAUAUAUCCUGCAGGAUUAGAGAUAAGACAUCCCCUCUGUGUGCAGAUACUGCUUUGAGAGAAGCUGGCCUGGACAUUUUCAAGAGAAUGCUAUGGUAACUAGACCCAUUGAAUCCUGUAACUUCCAGCCAAAAGUAUUGAUGUAUCUUCUAUCCCUUUGGAAGAACGUCUGCAGUUGCUGAUGUCCUACAAAUUCAUACUCAAAUCCUUUUCUUUACGUCUGCCUUAAGAAUAGCGUCAGAGGGCUGGUAGUAGGACAUGGUUUAAUCCCAGCACUUGGAAGGCAAAGGCAGGUAAUUCAUUUCGAGAUAGAGGGCAGCCUGAUCUAUAGUGUGAGUUCUAGGAAAGAAAAACCCUGUCACAAAAAUAUAAAACCAAACCAAACAAUAGUCAGUCUGUCGUGGUGGAGCACACCUUUAAUGCUAGCAAUCACAAAGCACAGGAAGUUCAAAUCACUGCAAACUGAAGGCCAGCCUGAUCUACACAGUUCCAGUUUUGCUGGAAUCCGGUUAGGGGUGGGGAGGGAUAGGUGUUGUAGCUCACACCUUUUAUACCAGCAUUGAAGAAGCAGAUGCAAGCAGGUCUCUGUAAAUAGGAGGCCAGCCUUGUCUGCACAGAGUUCCAGGUCAGAGAGAGCUACAAAGACGACGACAACAAACCAAAAACGUGAGAAUAAGAGUCUCGGGUGGGCCUUUCUUUCUUUCCCCUGCUGGAUAUGGCCUGGGGCUUCUCCUAAUGUUCUGGCCAAUGGUUAAGCUGGUUCCUGUGUCUUCCUUAGCCCCACCCUCAGCCCACCCUGGGGGAAGUCAUUGGCUAGAUCACAGCAGGCUGCCAGCAUAGCUUCCCACCUUCUGCAGCUGGGGUUAUAAAUAACCACCAAGGCUAAACAGUCAAAUAACCACAUUUUGAAAAUUGCUUUAAAAAAAAAAGUCAUUAUGCUGCUCUAGUUGCAGUUCUUCUCUCCUGUCCUUCAUCCCCCUCUUUUCUUCCACUUAAUUUAUCUCCCUCCCCUGAUCCAAGCCCUCCAGGGAAGUCUAUGUGAGCACAAAGCUGCCCUAUGAUGAAGACAUCCUUUUCCAUAUGUGACGGCCCAGGGCCCUCCAGGGCUGUAGUUAUAGUUACAUAAUGUUGUUACGGCAGCAGAGGCCUCAGGGCAACAUAUGUUCCUCCGUGUAAUUGGGUUUUCUCUAGCAGACUGUCUCUCCUUGGGUCCUCCAUGCCCAAAUCCAUUUACCGAGAAGACUGGGGAAUUUCCAUUAUGGAUGGCCCUUCAUCAUCGUUAUUUUUAUUAUUAUUAUUUUUGGAUUCCAGGAAAAUCAAAUUCUUUUUCAUACUUCAGGGUGGAGUAUGUCUGUCUAGUAAGCAGGGAUGGAGACUUUCAGAUGGUGGGCGUUUUCGUUUAUUCACCAAAUAUUUACUAAAGGCAUUGGUCUGGAAGCUGAGUGAACACAGCUCAUAAACCAUCAACUUGGGAAAACCGGCUACAGGAGGGGCCUGUGGGGCAUGACCUUGACCUGUCUGCAGCCCCCUCUGCCUUUCAGAAAUUAUUUACCCAGUACAACACAAGACAAGAUGAGGAAGUGAUGCUUCCUAAAAUUUACUGCUAUUGUAAAGCAACACACACACACACACACACUUUAAGGAAAGACAACAUGAUAACCUUUUAUGUGUAUGAAUACUUUGCUAACAUGUAUGUAUGUACACCAUGUUCAUUCCUGGUCCUCUCCGAGGGCAGAAGAAGGUAUUGGAUCAUCUGGAACUGGGGUUACAGAUGUUUGUGAGCCAGCAUGUGGAUGCAAGGGAUUAAAGCCAGGUCUUUUGGGAAAGCAGCUGGUGCGUGGUCUUACUGACCCAUCUUUCCAGCGCGCUCGCUCUCUCUCUCUCUCUCUCUCUCUCUCUCUCUCUCUCUCUCUCUCUCUCUCUCUCUCUUUUCUUUUUUUUUCCGGAGCUGGGGACUAAACCUAGGGCCUUGCGCUUGCUAGGCAAGCGCUCUACCACUGAGCUAAAUCCCCAACCCCCUUUCCAGCUCUCUUAAGGGGCAUGGCUGAUGUAGCAGGGCCAUACCCUCAGUGAGCAGGGUCACCCACGGGCAGGUAGUCAUAGACUAGGUGGAAAAGGUGCCUGGAGGAGCAAACUGGUAAGCCACACUCUGCUGUGGCCCCUGCUUCAGUUCCUGCCUUGGCUUCCCUAGAUGAUGAACUGUGACCUGUAAGUCAGAUAAACCUUUUCCUUCCCCAAAUUGCAUUUGGUGCUGGAGUUUGCCAUGGCAACCAGGAAGCAAAGGAGAACACUGAUCAUCUCUGUGUGUCUGUGGUCUUCACCACUGAAGCUGCAGCUUCCCCGUUCCAUUGCACUAUAGUUCACAUUUCCCUAGGAUUCAGGGUCCUUCAUGUCAGAACACUGCAGCGUCUGCUUGCUCCUCUCUCCCUCCUGCUUUUAUUUCUGCCUCAAAGAUGUUCUUUAUUUCUUCCCUCAAAGAGUUGUGUUUAAGAGUUGUGACCUGCUCAUAGUCACUGCUUGAGAGUGACAAUCUAAGAUAGUACCAGAAUUAAAAUUUUAAAGUAUAGCUCAAAAAAAUAUGUCUAUUUGCUUAAAGAGGUAAGCCCUCCUUGUAGCCCAGGCCAAUCUCAAAUUCAUGUACUUCCCAAGUGAUGGAAUUCCAAGCAUGUGCCACCACACCAAUUGUUAGGAAUCAAAUUCAGCUCUUUGUGCACGAUGGGCAAACACUUUCUACCAACAGAGCCUCAUCUCCAGCCCCUCAAGUGUACCUUUGUUUUAUUUCUUAAGAAGAUGGAAAGGUAGCCUCACCACCACCACCACCUCUUUGUGUGUGUGUGUGUGUGUGUGUGUGUGUGUGUGUGUGUGUGUGUGUGUGUGUU